Molecule: ribosomal RNA, 258 nt
Filed under: uncultured Basidiomycota
Lineage: Eukaryota; Fungi; Basidiomycota
Description: partial 18S ribosomal RNA
Rfam family: Eukaryotic small subunit ribosomal RNA
Source: RNAcentral
AAGCUCGUAGUUGAAUUUCGGGCCUGGCUGGGUGGUCUGCUUAACGGCAUGUACUGUCUGGCUGGGUCUUACCUCUUGGUGAGCCGGUGUGCCCUUUAUUGGUGUGCAUUGGGGAACCAGGACUUUUACCUUGAGAAAAUUAGAGUGUUCAAAGCAGGCUUAUGCCCGAAUACAUUAGCAUGGAAUAAUAAAAUAGGACGUGUGGUUCUAUUUUGUUGGUUUCUAGAGUCGCCGUAAUGAUUAAUAGGGAUAGUUGGG